GACGAACGCUGGCGGCGUGCUUAACACAUGCAAGUCGAACGGAAAGGCCCUGCUUUUGUGGGGUGCUCGAGUGGCGAACGGGUGAGUAACACGUGAGUAACCUGCCCUUGACUUUGGGAUAACUUCAGGAAACUGGGGCUAAUACCGGAUAGGAGCUCCUGCUGCAUGGUGGGGGUUGGAAAGUUUCGGCGGUUGGGGAUAGACUCGCGGCUUAUCAGCUUGUUGGUGGGGUAGUGGCUUACCAAGGCUUCGACGGAUAGCCGGCCUGAGAGGGUGACCGGCCACAUUGGGACUGAGAGACGGCCCAGACUCCUACGGGAGGCAGCAGGGGGGAAUAUUGCACAAUGGGCGGAAGCCUGAUGCAGCAACGCCGCGUGCGGGAUGACGGCCUUCGGGUUGUAAACCGCUUUCGCCUGUGACGAAGCGUGAGUGACGGUAAUGGGUAAAGAAGCACCGGCUAACUACGUG
This 468-nucleotide ribosomal RNA is filed under the name uncultured bacterium. RNAcentral describes it as "partial 16S ribosomal RNA". It matches the Rfam family "Bacterial small subunit ribosomal RNA", at positions 28 to 507 of the family's 1533-position model. The record is from RNAcentral.